RNAcentral lists this ribosomal RNA (494 nucleotides) under Gnomonia pendulorum. RNAcentral describes it as "eukaryotic LSU rRNA". The stretch from base 182 to 335 matches the Rfam family "5.8S ribosomal RNA". The record is from RNAcentral. Lineage: Eukaryota; Fungi; Ascomycota; Sordariomycetes; Diaporthales; Gnomoniaceae.
AUGCAAAGCGACUGUGAGGGUUAUCUUCUACACCCUUUGUGAACAUUACCUAAACGUUGCCUCGGCAUGGUUGGCUCCCUCCGGGAGUCCCUCUCUAUAGAGAGGAGCAGACCGGCCGGCGGCCUCUAGAAACUCUGUUUUUUUUGUACAUCAUCUGAGUAAUCAACAUAUAAUGAUUUAAAACUUUCAACAACGGAUCUCUUGGUUCUGGCAUCGAUGAAGAACGCAGCGAAAUGCGAUAAGUAAUGUGAAUUGCAGAAUUCAGUGAAUCAUCGAAUCUUUGAACGCACAUUGCGCCCGGUGGUAUUCCACCGGGCAUGCCUGUUCGAGCGUCAUUUCACCCCUCAAAGCCCGGCUUUGGUGUUGGAGGACUACCUGUCACAGGGUACCCUCUGAAAUGUAGUGGCGGGCUCGCUAGAAUUUUGAGCGUAGUAAUUUUACCUCGUUUGUAAAGCCUAGUGGGACUACUUGCCGUAAAACCCCCAACUUUCUGA